AUGACAAACUCUGCUGAAUCGGACUCAACCAAUUUCACUUAAUUUGACCUUUAAAAUAUGGUUAAGCUCAAUUAGGUGUGACCUGGCUCAAUUACCUGCAAUUGACAUAAAACAUAUCAGGUUUUUAUAUUUAUUUAGUUAAUUAUUAUACCAAUUUCAUCAAAAUCAUUAAAAACUAAUAAUAAUAAUUACUAUAAAAAUGCAAUACAUCA
Molecule: long non-coding RNA, 212 nt
Filed under: Elaeis guineensis (African oil palm)
Lineage: Eukaryota; Viridiplantae; Streptophyta; Magnoliopsida; Arecales; Arecaceae
Description: long non-coding RNA (EGUI_LNC021947)
Source: RNAcentral